Molecule: long non-coding RNA, 3921 nt
Organism: Eriocheir sinensis (Chinese mitten crab)
Lineage: Eukaryota; Metazoa; Arthropoda; Malacostraca; Decapoda; Varunidae
Exons: 4
Source: RefSeq, a predicted model, not a curated record
UCUCUCUCUCUCUCAUAAUUUUCUUUUUUGGUUUCUCCAUUCCUUCUUCUUCCUCUUCUUCUUCUUCUUCUUCUUCUUUUUCCUCACCCUUUGUCCCUGUCCAUACCCAGCUACCCAACCCUGGUCCUCUUCCUCUUCCCCCUCCUCCUUCUUCAUCUCCUCCCCUUCUUCUUCUCCUUCUCCUUCCCAGCUCUGUUCCCUGACUGCAAUUUCUUUCUUUCGGGCAUUUCCAAAAGUGACACCAGAGGUCCUUAUCCACAGGCAUUUUGGCCCCUCCCUGCCACUAUCUCCAAGGCCACAGAGGAGAGACUAGCGAGGUUACAGUAUUUCCAAGGCCAGUCAGGUUACUAUAUUUCCAAGGCCAGUCAGGUUACUAUAUUUCCAAGGCCAGUCAGGUUACUAUAUUUCCAAGGCCAGUCAGGUUACUAUAUUUCCAAGGCCAGUCAGGUUACUAUAUUUCCAAGGCCAGUCAGGUUACUAUAUUUCCAAGGCCAGUCAGGUUACUAUAUUUCCAAGGCCAGUCAGGUUACUAUAUUUCCAAGGCCACAGCACUCAGAUUUACUUAUUUCCAAGGCCUCAGAGGAGUGAUUAGCAAGGUUACAAUAUUUCCAAGGCCAGUCAGGUUACAAUAUUUCCAAGGCCUGUCAGGUUUACAUAUUUCUAAGGCCACAGAAAAGAGCUUAGUCAGGUUAAUGUAUUUCCAAGGGUAUAGAAGAGGGAUCAGCUAGGUUUGCAGAGAGGUUCAUCAGGUUUAAUGUAUUUCCAAGGGCCACAGAGAGAUAAUAUUCAGGUUAAUGUAUUUCCAAGGGUGUAGAAAAGAGAUCAGUCAGGUUUGCAGAGACUUGUCAGGUUUAAUGUAUUUCCAAGGCCACAGAAGAGAUAAAGGCCAAGUUAUAAUAUUUCCAAGGCCACAGAAGAGAUGAUUGUCAGGUUACAGUAUUUCCAAGGCUACAGCAGACAUAUUUGACAGGUUCCAAGGCCACAGAAGAGAUGAGAGUCAGGUUCCAAGGCCACAGAAGAGAUGAGAGUCAGGUUACAGUAUUUCCAAGGCUACAGCAGAGAUAUUUGACAGGUUAUUUCCAAGGCCACAGAAGAGGUGAUAGGUGUAAGUACUUCCUGGUGGCUUUUUAAGAUGUAUUUUCAACUUUCUGACUUCACAAGAUCGACUUUUUCUCUACUUGCUGACUUCAUGAGACCCAGCAACUAUUUGACUCUUCUGUUUACUUACCAAUGCCCACCUACUUACCCUAAUGCCCACCUACUUACCCUAAUGCCCUCCUACUUACCCUAAUGCCCACCUACUUACUAUAAGGCCCACCUACUUACCCUAAUGCCCUCCUACUUACCCCAACACCCUUUCCCAUGCCCACUUACCCCGACUCCCUUUCCCCUCCCCACCUACUUAUCUCAACACCCUUUCCCAUGCCCACCUACUUACCCUAAUGCCCACCUACCUACCCUAAUGCCCUCCUACUUACCCCAACACCCUUUGCAUGCCUGCCUACUUACCCCAACACCCUUUCCAUGCCCUCCUACUUAUCCCAACACCCUUUCCCAUGCCCACCUAAUUACCCUAAUAUCCUCCUACUUACCUGAAUGUCCUCUUACUUACCCCAACACCCAUUCCCAUGCCUACCUACUUACCCUAAUGCCCUUUUCCAUGCACACCUACUUACCCUAAUGCCCUUUUCCAUGCACACCUACUUACCCUAAUGCCCUUUUCCAUGCACACCUACUUACCCUAAUGCCCUUUUCCAUGCACACCUACUUACCCUAAUGCCCUUUUCCAUGCACACCUACUUACCCAAUGCCCACCUACUUACCCCAACACCUUUCCCAUGCUUAUCCUAUCCUGGCAUCCAUCAGUUCUGUUGUUCUCCCAUCCUUACAUCCUAUCCUAUCCUAUCCAUACAGUCCAUCCUUGCAUCCUUCAGCCUGUCCUUCCAUCCUACUGAGUGUUGAUAUCCUGCACCUCCAUGGAAGCAAUCACCCUCUCUUCCUCCUCACGACACAACUUUUGACCCACACUGUACUUCACUGCAUCAACAAACACUUAUUUUUGGGGCACUCCACUUGCUGACCAUUGUGUGUGUGUGUGUGUGUGUGUGUGUGUGUGUGUGUGUGUGUGACUUGACCUCUUUUUCUUCUUCUUCCUCCUCAUCAUCAUCAUCUUAUUUUUCUCCCUUUUCUUUUCCUUUUUCUUUUCCUUCCAUGUUUUCUUUCUUAGACCUCUGAGGCUUCAUAGGUUUUUCUUCCUUCCUUCCAUUCUUUCAUUAUUUUUAUCCCUAUUUCAUUGCACUUUUUCCUUGGUAGGGGGUGGUGGUGGUGGUGGUGGUGGUGCAUGCGUGGUAAUAUUAGUGGUGGUGGUGUGAUGUAAGGAGAAACAGAAGCAAUGAUAUUAACCCAAGCACACACAACCCUUCAGUGAGCCUUCUGUGUGGGCCGGCCUGGGUGUGCUCACUGCCUUGGCUUCCUUUACGUUCCCUCACCCUUCAAUACCUGUGUCACACCAGUCUCGGGACCAGUUUGACAGCCCAACACAGAGCCAUGGUCAGCUCCCACACCAAACUUUUUUCUCCACAAUGGUCCUAAAAAGAUUUCCUGUGUGUUGUUUCUGAAGUAUUCCUCCUUUCUACAUCAACGCCAAACACUAUGCAGGGAAUUUUUGCAGUAUUUUGUGUUUGGUUGGAAGCGGACAAGUCAGGUGGGGCCAGAUUCAUCAAGCCACUACAAGACCGGUCAUUGGUAAGUCUUUUAGUAAAUCUGUCCUCUACGAAUGACCCUUGUGUUUGGGCCACUCUGAUGACAGUGAAUGAAAUACUGGCCUGGUCGACACUUCUUUCACUGCCAUUGGACUCGCUGUAAGAUCAAGAGCGUUCCUAAAUGAUGGAGUUACCGGAAGACUUACCAACAACAGGUCUCGUAAGUGGUUUGAUGAAUCUGACCUCUGGAUUGGAUUAACAUUGGCCCUUAACCCGGUAGCAGCGACGGGACAAUUCUGUGUCUUUACCGUGUGGCAGCGACGGGACAAUUCUGUGUCUUUACCGUGUGGCAGCGACGGGACAAUUCUGUGUCUUUACCGUGUGGCAGCAACGGGACAGAUUUUUGCCAUGAUAUAAACCCCCCAAAAUAGAUGAUGCAUAAACUGAUCACAAAUGCUUUGAUAUAUAUUAUGAAAUGGCUUGCGUGAGUGAUGAUUUUUUCUCAUUUUUUUCGCUUGGAGGGAAGGGCCUUUAAGAUCACAAUCCCUGCAGCUACCGGGUUAACCUAAUUUAACCCGGUAGCAGCGACGGGACAAUUUUGUGGCUUUACCGUGUAGCAGCGACGAGACAGAUUUUUGCCAUGAUAUAAACCCCCAAAAUAGAUGAUGCAUAAACUGAUCACAAAUGCGCUGAUAUAUAUUAUGAAAUGGCUUGCAUGAGUGAUGAUUUUUUCUCAUUUUUUUUGCUUGGAGGGAAGGCCCUUUAAGAACACAAUCCCUGCAGCUACCGGGUUAACCUAAUUUAACUUAACUUAGUCUAACUUAGGGCCACUUCGACAGUCCAACACGGAGUCAGUCAGCGCCCAAACCGAACUUUAUCCUCCACAAUGAUCCGUUUUACUCAACACCAGAUCCUAAAGAGAUUUUCUGUGUGGUUUCCCAAGUAGGAUCGAGGAUGUUCAGCGUAGGAGAAGGUGACAGCUGAGUGUUGUUGAAGAAUAGGGGAUAGUUUUUUUAGUUUUUUACAGCAGAGGAAUCAAGUUUUUUUAGUUUUUUACAGCAGAGGAAUCAAUUCAAGGGCACAAAAAAGGAAACAUGUGAAAAAAAAGCCUAUGUCGAGUUGAUAGGUGGAGAAAUUGAGUUUUUGAGAGGCGUUGAAGGACACCAGGUUGUUCUUGCCCCAUUCCUCCUUUUCACAUCAACGCCAAACACUACACAGG